RNAcentral lists this ribosomal RNA (429 nucleotides) under Actinomycetes bacterium. RNAcentral describes it as "Actinobacteria bacterium partial 16S ribosomal RNA". It matches the Rfam family "Bacterial small subunit ribosomal RNA", at positions 355 to 776 of the family's 1533-position model. Lineage: Bacteria; Bacillati; Actinomycetota; Actinomycetes. The record is from RNAcentral.
UAGGGAAUCUUCCGCAAUGGGCGAAAGCCUGACGGAGCAACGCCGCGUGAGUGAUGAAGGUCUUCGGAUCGUAAAACUCUGUUAUUAGGGAAGAACAAAUGUUUAAGUAACUAUGCACGUCUUGACGGUACCUAAUCAGAAAUCCACGGCUAACUACGUGCCAGCAGCCGCUGUAAUACGUAGGUGGCAAGCGUUAUCCGGAAUUAUUGGGCGUAAAGCGCGCGUAGGCGGUUUUUUAAGUGUGAUGUGAAAGCCCACGGCUCAACCGUGGAGGGUGAUUGGAAACUGGAAAACUGGAGUGCAGAAGAGGAAAGUGGAAUUCCAUGUGUAGCGGUGAAAUGCGCAGAGAUAUGGAGGAACACCAGUGGCGAAGGCGACUUUCGGGUCUGUAACUGACGCUGAUGUGCGAAAGCGUGGGGAUCAAACAGG